UAAUACGAAGGGGGCUAGCGUUGUUCGGAAUUACUGGGCGUAAAGCGCGUGUAGGCGGGUCUUUAAGUCAGGGGUGAAAUGCCAAGGCUCAACCUUGGAACUGCCUUUGAUACUGGAGAUCUUGAGUCCGGGAGAGGUGAGUGGAAUUGCGAGUGUAGAGGUGAAAUUCGUAGAUAUUCGCAAGAACACCAGUGGCGAAGGCGGCUCACUGGCCCGGAACUGACGCUGAGACGCGAAAGCGUGGGGAGCAAACAGGAUUAGAUACCCUGGUAGUCCACGCUGUAAACGAUGGAUGCUAGCCGUUGGGGAGCUUGCUCUUCAGUGGCGCAGCUAACGCUUUAAGCAUCCCGCCUGGGGAGUACGGUCGCAAGAUUA
RNAcentral lists this ribosomal RNA (375 nucleotides) under uncultured bacterium. RNAcentral describes it as "bacterial SSU rRNA". It matches the Rfam family "Bacterial small subunit ribosomal RNA", at positions 521 to 896 of the family's 1533-position model. The record is from RNAcentral.